UUAAAUAUUUUUCAUGAUUAAAUAUAGGUG
This 30-nucleotide non-coding RNA is filed under the name Rattus norvegicus (Norway rat). The record is from RNAcentral. Lineage: Eukaryota; Metazoa; Chordata; Mammalia; Rodentia; Muridae.